This 70-nucleotide transfer RNA is filed under the name Chalcopteryx rutilans. RNAcentral's name for it is "tRNA-Pro". The record is from RNAcentral. Lineage: Eukaryota; Metazoa; Arthropoda; Insecta; Odonata; Polythoridae.
CAGAAGGUAUUUUAUUUAGAAUAUUAAUUUUGGAGAUUAAUGGAGGGUUAGCGUUUAUACUUCCUUCUGA